GGUUCAUAUUGAGGAAAAACUACAGAAAUUUUGCAUGGUUAUACGCACAACGUGCUGGAGGAACUCUGCUGGUCAGGCAGCAUCUAUGGAAAAGAUCGGCUCACUCAUUUGGGAAGAUUGUUGGAGAUGAAGCGUUUUUGAGAACUUUGCUGCCUUGGGUCUUCACAAUUUAAAAAUUUCAAAGCGAUAGGUUCUCAAUCAAGUUAUGUGCAAAUUAUUCUCCGUAACUUCCGCCACCUCCAGCGGGAUCCCACCACGAAGCAAACAUUUUUCCCUCCCCCUCUCUCUCUGCAUUCCGCAGGGAUCGCUCCCUACCUGACUCCCUUGUCCAUUCGUCCCCCCCAUCCCUCCCCACUGAUCUCCCUCCUGGCACUUAUCCGUGUAAGCGGAACAAGUGCUACACAUGUCCUUACACUUCCUCCCUUACCACCAUUCAGGUCCCCAAACAGUCCUUCCAGGUGAGGCAACACUUCAACUGUGAGUCGACUGCGGUGAUAUACUGCGUCUGGUG
Molecule: long non-coding RNA, 511 nt
Organism: Mobula hypostoma (lesser devil ray)
Lineage: Eukaryota; Metazoa; Chordata; Chondrichthyes; Myliobatiformes; Myliobatidae
Exons: 3
Source: RefSeq, a predicted model, not a curated record